UAGGGAAUCUUCGGCAAUGGACGAAAGUCUGACCGAGCAACGCCGCGUGAGUGAAGAAGGUUUUCGGAUCGUAAAACUCUGUUGGUAGAGAAGAACGUUGGUGAGAGUGGAAAGCUCAUCAAGUGACGGUAACUACCCAGAAAGGGACGGCUAACUACGUGCCAGCAGCCGCGGUAAUACGUAGGUCCCGAGCGUUGUCCGGAUUUAUUGGGCGUAAAGCGAGCGCAGGUGGUUUAUUAAGUCUGGUGUAAAAGGCAGUGGCUCAACCAUUGUAUGCAUUGGAAACUGGUAGACUUGAGUGCAGGAGAGGAGAGUGGAAUUCCAUGUGUAGCGGUGAAAUGCGUAGAUAUAUGGAGGAACACCGGUGGCGAAAGCGGCUCUCUGGCCUGUAACUGACACUGAGGCUCGAAAGCGUGGGGAGCAAACAGGAUUAGAUACCCUGGUAGUCCACGCCGUAAACGAUGAGUGCUAGAUGUAGGGGGCUAUAAGUUCUCUGUAUCGCAGCUAACGCAAUAAGCACUCCGCCUGGGGAGUACGACCGCAAGGUUGAAAC
RNAcentral lists this ribosomal RNA (553 nucleotides) under uncultured bacterium. Its description in RNAcentral is "partial 16S ribosomal RNA". It matches the Rfam family "Bacterial small subunit ribosomal RNA", at positions 355 to 900 of the family's 1533-position model. The record is from RNAcentral.